GUAUUAAAGGUGUUGCCUGCCCAGUGAGACAUCUUCAACGGCCGCGGUAUCCUAACCGUGCAAAGGUAGCGUAAUCACUUGUCUUUUAAAUAAAGACUCGUAUGAAAGGCUAAAUGAGGACGAAACUGUCUCUUAUAAUCAACCAGUGAAACUGACCCCCAAGUACAAAAGCUUGGAUAAACACAUAAGACGAGAAGACCCUGUGGAGCUUAAAACUAACACUAUAAGAAAAUAGCACAAGUUUUAAGUUGGGGCGACUUCGGAACAAAACAAAACUUCCGAGCACAGAGCCAACCGCUCUCACCCAGACCCACAAGUCAAAGACAACAACGACCCAGUCACACUGAACAACGAACCAAGUUACCCCAGGGAUAACAGCGCCAUCUUCUUCAAGAGUCCCUAUCGACAAGAAGGUUUACGACCUCGAUGUUGGAUCAGGACACCCAAAUGG
Molecule: ribosomal RNA, 451 nt
Filed under: Liburnascincus scirtetis (Black Mountain rainbow-skink)
Lineage: Eukaryota; Metazoa; Chordata; Lepidosauria; Squamata; Scincidae
Description: partial 16S ribosomal RNA
Rfam family: Bacterial large subunit ribosomal RNA
Source: RNAcentral